UGGCGACAGCGGCCCGACGACCGGCGAUGCGGUUGUUUGCGCCACUUCGCCGGCAGCAGGCCCGGGCUAUCGGGGAGCACGGCUGCCGCGCUAUACCGGAGGCCAUACAGUGGCGCCCACUGACGGUGGCAGCAUGGAGUACAGGACACGGGACGAUCCAGUGAUGUCCGUUGCUCGGUUUGCGAGAAUUCUGUCGCCUCUUGUCGAGUGGCCGAGGCCAGAUGUCGGCGAAGCCGUUCACAAGAAGCAGACAUAUAUGCAAGUCGCCACGCUUCCUGGGACGUAACGCUGAUGUACUUGACGUAUCGAAGUCUGUAGACAGCAGCGCCUGCAGGAAGCCGGUGGUCGACGCUCUCCAGACAAGCUGCAUGCCUCGGGUUCUUGGCGCUGCGGCAGCGUACAAAAACAAAGGCCUCGAAGCCCGCAUGCCCUCGGAGGCUUGUUUGUGAUCGCCGUUCGCGGAGAAGUUGCAGCGCUGUGAAGACUGAACGUAGUGUCCUGCUAGCAUAUAGCACAGACACACUUGCCCGCGAGCCAAUGACGCGAAGGGCCACAGAGUCGUCGCACUAUUCGAAUAAUAAACGCAUUCGGAUAUACCAACUAUACACCGUCGCAGGCGCAUUUGAAAAGCAGCCCAACCGUAGGCGCUGUUGGGCUUUGAACACUGAAUUUGCAGCUGUUCAAGUGGAAUGUUCUUUGGUCCUGGCUCACACGAACCUAUUGAGAACCAUAUGAAGAAAAUGGUCCACCUUUAUAUGUUAACUAUUCGUUAGCUCAAGGAAUGAGCUGCCUCAUGUUUUGAAGGAAAUAAAGCCAAAA
This is a long non-coding RNA of Dermacentor andersoni, 819 nucleotides long. RefSeq lists it as uncharacterized. The record is from RefSeq and is a predicted model, not a curated record. Lineage: Eukaryota; Metazoa; Arthropoda; Arachnida; Ixodida; Ixodidae.